This is a long non-coding RNA of Sander lucioperca (pikeperch), 778 nucleotides long. RefSeq lists it as uncharacterized. The record is from RefSeq and is a predicted model, not a curated record. NCBI's taxonomy places the organism in Eukaryota, Metazoa, Chordata, Actinopteri, Perciformes, Percidae. The transcript has 3 exons.
UUGUGAAAAGCUUCAAUAUUGUAGUGUCACACUCUAAUCAGCUAUAGAAUUCACAAUCACGGGGAAGACUGCUGACCUGACAGUUGUGCAGAAAACCAUCAUUGACAAAGCCUCAAAAGGUAAUUGCAAAAGAAGUGGGAUGUUCUCAAAGUGCUGUAUCAUAGCACAUUAAUAGAAAGUGGAAGGUAAAAGUGUGGAAGAAAAAGGUGCACAAGCAGCAGGGAUGACCGCAGCCUGGAGAGGAUUGUCUGAAAAAGGCCAUUCAAAAGUGGGGAACUUCACAAGGAGUGGACUGAGGCUGGAGUUACUGCAUCAAGAGCCACCACACACAGAAGGAUCCUGGACAUUGGCUUCAAAUGUCGUAUUCCUCUUGUCAAGCCGCUCCUGAACAACAAACAACGUCAGAGAACUGGUCUGUUGCUCUGUGGUCCAAAGUCACCUUUUCUGAUGAGAGCAAAUUUUGCAUCUCAUUUGGAAACCAAAGUCCCAGAGUCUGGAGGAAGAAUGGAGAGGCACACAAUCCAAGAUGCUUGUGUUGAUUUAGGGAGACAUGUCGUCCACCGUGCUCUUUUAAGUCCAGAGUCAACGCAGCCAUCUACCAGGACAUUUUAGAGCACUUCAUGCUUCCUUCAGCAGACAAGCUUUAUGGAGAUGCUGACUUCAUUUUCCAGCAGGAUUUGGCACCUGCCCACACUGCCAAAAGUACCAAAACGCCGCUACUGAAGCAUCCUGGUCUUUCAUAACACCUCAGCAGUGCCACAGGCUGAUGGCAUCCAUG